Molecule: long non-coding RNA, 826 nt
Organism: Physella acuta
Lineage: Eukaryota; Metazoa; Mollusca; Gastropoda; Physidae
Source: RefSeq, a predicted model, not a curated record
CUUUUUAAAAUCUUCAGCAAGAUAGAAGCUUGUUUUUAAAAUAACGUUCGGUACCAACUCAAGGGAAAAAAUGGACGUCGCUAGUUCAGUUUUAGUGCUCUUGUUCAUUGUCAGCCUCUCGGACGGUAAUGUCAACUACAACGUAUCCUUAGAGGUCAAGAUUGAUGGCUUUGAAAAAGAAUGUGACGCUCCAGGUUGCCGUUACACUGGAAAGAUUGUUGGAAGUGUCAAGUCCUCUGGUUUCGAUUAUCCGAUCCCACAAGUUUGCUUUUACGUUUGGAUUUUUACGUAUGCCGCCGGAAAACCUUUUUGGGACUUUAUAUGCCAUGUGACUCUCUACCCGUGCGAAAGAUGUCUAUUUCGUUGGACAGCUUGCAAACUGCUCAGGAUAUAAUCCACUCAAAAUUGAAUUCUAUCCGUAUCGAGGGAGCCUAUUCAAGCUGGCAGUCAUAGGCUCUAGGCAAAAACCUGUUGGAUUUUAUCCCUAUCUCAAACCGUCUGGUAUUGAUUACUGGAUAUGGAGCAAUGAAUUUGAUGCUUCAAUCAAACCAGAUGACUGGGAUCCGAUUUACGUUCAUGGUCCAGAUAAUAUACAAGUUGGAAUGGAAUACUCAUACUCGACAAACGGAAACAAUCGCCUUAACGCAGGAACUAAAAUCGUUGGCAUGGCAACUAUGUUUGCUUUCCUCCUAACCAAGAUCAUUUUUAAUGAAUAACGAUUUGAAUAACAUAAAGGAUAAAGGAACUAGCUUGGCUAUGUUGUGAAACAAAAUGUGGAGCUACACAUCACGGCCAUAUUUAUGCUACAUAUUGUUUUUGAUACCUA